This 303-nucleotide ribosomal RNA is filed under the name uncultured bacterium. Its description in RNAcentral is "partial 16S ribosomal RNA". It matches the Rfam family "Bacterial small subunit ribosomal RNA", at positions 507 to 807 of the family's 1533-position model. The record is from RNAcentral.
AGCAGUCGCCACGGGAAUACGGAGGGGGCUAGCGUUGUUCGGAAUUACUGGGCGUAAAGCGCACGUAGGCGGCUUGGUAAGUUAGAGGUGAAAGCCCGGAGCUCAACUCCAGAAUUGCCUUUAAGACUGCAUCGCUUGAACGUCGGAGAGGUGAGUGGAAUUCCGAGUGUAGAGGUGAAAUUCGUAGAUAUUCGGAAGAACACCAGUGGCGAAGGCGGCUCACUGGACGACUGUUGACGCUGAGGUACGAAAGCGUGGGGAGCAAACAGGAUUAGAUACCCCCGUAGUCCCUGUCUCUUAUAC